This 253-nucleotide ribosomal RNA is filed under the name uncultured bacterium. RNAcentral's name for it is "partial 16S ribosomal RNA". It matches the Rfam family "Bacterial small subunit ribosomal RNA", at positions 524 to 776 of the family's 1533-position model. The record is from RNAcentral.
GACGGAGGGGGCUAGCGUUGUUCGGAAUGACUGGGCGUAAAGGGCGCGUAGGCGGUUUUUUAAGUGAGGCGUGAAAGCCCUGGGCUUAACCCAGGAGGUGCGUUUCAUACUGGAAAGCUUGAGUACGAGAGAGGAAAGCGGAAUUCCUAGUGUAGAGGUGAAAUUCGUAGAUAUUAGGAAGAACACCAGUGGCGAAGGCGGCUCACUGGCCCGGUACUGACGCUGAGGCGCGAAAGCGUGGGGAGCAAACAGG